AAAGUCAUAACAAGGUCUCCUGUGAACCUGCAGAGAGGGAUCAUUAAUGAAUGGUCUCUGUACCUUCAACCCCUCAAACCUGUGGACGUUUAAAAACGUGCUUUGGUGCUUCUGGUGCUGCCUUUAUGCAAGACAUAAGUCUUUUUUAUGUCUGAACAUGAGAAGAAUCAAAAACUUUCAACAAAGGAUCUCUUGGCUCUC
Molecule: unclassified non-coding RNA, 201 nt
Filed under: Ascomycota sp.
Lineage: Eukaryota; Fungi; Ascomycota
Description: partial contains small subunit ribosomal RNA, internal transcribed spacer 1, and 5.8S ribosomal RNA
Source: RNAcentral